This 397-nucleotide ribosomal RNA is filed under the name uncultured bacterium. RNAcentral's name for it is "bacterial SSU rRNA". It matches the Rfam family "Bacterial small subunit ribosomal RNA", at positions 30 to 428 of the family's 1533-position model. The record is from RNAcentral.
AUUGAACGCUGGCGGCAUGCCUUACACAUGCAAGUCGAACGGUAGCACGGGGGCAACCCUGGUGGCGAGUGGCGAACGGGUGAGUAACAUAUCGGAACAUACCCUAGAGUGGGGGAUAACGUAGCGAAAGUUACGCUAAUACCGCAUACGAUCUAAGGAUGAAAGUGGGGGAUCUUCGGACCUCAUGCUCAUGGAGUGGCCGAUAUCUGAUUAGCUAGUUGGUGAGGUAAAGGCUCACCAAGGCGACGAUCAGUAGCUGGUUUGAGAGAACGACCAGCCACACUGGAACUGAGACACGGUCCAGACUCCUACGGGAGGCAGCAGUGGGGAAUUUUGGACAAUGGGGCAACCCUGAUCCAGCAAUGCCGCGUGAGUGAAGAAGGCCUUCGGGUUGUAA